CAAAUACUCCCUUCGUCCGGAAAUACUUGUCAACAAAAUGGAUAAAAGGAAAUGUAUCUAGACGUAUUUCAGUUUUAGAUACAUCUCAUUUUAUCCAUUUUGAUGACAAGUAUUUUCAGACGGAGGGAGUAUUUA
Molecule: non-coding RNA, 135 nt
Organism: Triticum aestivum (bread wheat)
Lineage: Eukaryota; Viridiplantae; Streptophyta; Magnoliopsida; Poales; Poaceae
Source: Rfam